CGCGUCACUGAGGAGGAAGUGUAGUUCGUCAACUGGCGGCACAGUUUAUGACUCUGUGAAAACCUGCUACACUUCGGAAUUAUAGUUCACAUGGAGCCAGCCGUGGGCGAAGUUAUUAACCAGUGAAAACCCUAAGGAGAGAAGGGGUUUUCGAGAACUAUGGUAGGUGUGUUACUUUAGGCAUUUAAUCAGAAUAAUCUUAAUCAAUUGCGUACGUUAACGAUUUGAAAUACAACAAAUAUUUUUCGGAGAUUGACAAACUGUAUCACAUCUGGCGAAAAUAAUUGUCGAGAAAAAGAACCACAGUAUACUACUUGACGCACUUCACUAAACUUGAACAAUAGCGUGACAUACCUUCGAUAGUCCUACAUUUUCCGUGUUAUAAUUUGUUAAAUAUCAGAAAAAAUGUUUCGCCUUACCUGAGCUAUAGUUGUCAACUGGCCACACCCUUUUACUAGAGUGUAGAAGCCAACGCCCAUAGACACAACGGGAAAUGAAGUCACCACCGGUAAUAUUCCCAAAUCCCUCCUCGUUUUUAAACGGAUAGAACAGUCAAAUACAUCUGUGGUACAGUCAUACUAAUAGGAUCAAUUAUGGUGGUCCUGGUGCAUUUUUAUUAUCUGUCAUUAUGGUACUGGAGUUGCAAAUACAUUGUUGGACAACAUUAUUACAUUGUUGCACUGCAUAACCAUAUACAUUGAAUCAGCUGAUCACAACCUGACGAUGACGAGUUACUAUUAUGUUUCUCAUUGACAAAAUAUUUAAGUGUCCUGGUGAAAAUCUCACAGUCAUGUAGCCACUGUUUAUCCAAUAUAAUGACUGCAUUUGAAUGGACAUGAUUUGAGAAACAUAAGCAUGCAGUAUUGUAGAGAUACUCCAUAGAGACUCCCUUUUAAGGAAUCUAACAUAAUACACAUGUAGGAAUAAUGAGUCCAAAGUUCUAUUUGCAUUGUGAGGGAACAGUCGCAGAUGUGUCUGUCCAAGUACUGAGUUACUAAUUAAUCAUUGAAAUUAAAAUAAAUGGAUGCAGAAACAAUAGUCAAUGUGAAACCUUUUAGAUACGUAAACAAGGUGUGGGAAAUAGAUGUAUUUUUUUUUAUACAUGUCUUACUGCUAUGUUUAUCAUGACUGAGAAACUAUUUCAAAUUGUUUACAUAGAUAGCCACACCCAACGUUUAAAGUCCACUUACAAUUUGUAAUUUGCAACUUCAGGCCAACACCCCUAAACCUAAUUUCUGUAUUUGCAGAUAAAUAAAAGCUGUGAGGAUGACACCACACAUAGUAAUUACACAUAACAGUCCCUUGAUUACAAUUGUGAGUUGAGCCAUAAUACAAUUGUGUAUGGUAUGAGGACAGGGGGAGCUAUAUCAAUCUCAUAGCACCCAGUGGCCCUACACCAAUAACCUGCACAUUUCAGACUCUAUUACAAACAUUCAGAAUGUAUCUCGGCAAUACCUAGUGUUCACUUGAGGCAUGUUAUCAUACUAUGAAAGGAAGGAGGUGAGGGGGCGACCCAGAUGACCAAGAUGUCAUAUCCUCACACGUCUUUGCUUACAAUCAUAUCAUGAGUAACCUGCUUAAUUACUCACAAGCCUCAACUUGUGACAAUCCAACCUUGAACUGACUGAACAUUCAUCUGUACUCAAAGUAGCAAAUGACUCACUGUUCUCAUUGUUCAAUUGAAAGUUGCAUCAGUUGGUUUUAAUAUAUAAUGUAUAAUUAAGCAAUAAGGCCCGAGGGGCUGUGGUACAUGGCCAAUAUACCAUGGCUAAGGGCUGUUCUUAAGCACGACGCAACACAGAGUGCCUGGAUACAGUCCUUAGCUGUGGUAUAUUGGCCAUAUAUCACAAACCCCUGAGGUGCCUUAUUGCUAUUAUAAAAUGGUUACCAACAGAAUUAGAACAGUAAAAUAAAUGUUUUGUCAUACCCAUGGUGUACGGUCUGGUAUACCACGGCUUUCAGCCAAUCAGCCAUUUGGCUUCUAAGCCAUUAUGUCUUUGUAACCAUUUGCUGUUGGACACUAGGGCUGUUAUCCCAUCCAUGUUAGCCUCUGGUGCUGUUAUCCCAUCCAUGUUAGCCUCUGGUGCUGAUAGCCUCUGGUCCUGUUAUUCCAUCCAUGUUAGCCUCUGGUGCUGUUAUCCCAUCCAUGUUAGCCUCUGGUGCUGUUAGCCUCUGGUGCUGUUAUCCCAUCCAUGUUAGCCUCUGGUGCUGUUAGCCUCUGGUGCUGUUAUCCCAUCCAUGUUAGCCUCUGGUGCUGCUAGCCUCUGGUCCUGUUAUUCCAUCCAUGUUAGCCUCUGGUGCUGUUAGCCACUGGUGCUGUUAUCCCAUCCAUGUUAGCCUCUGGGGCUGUUAGCCUCUGGUGCUGUUAUCCCAUCCAUGUUAGCCUCUGGUGCUGCUAGCCUCUGGUCCUGUUAUUCCAUCCAUGUUAGCCUCUGGUGCUGUUAGCCACUGGUGCUGUUAUCCCUUCCAUGUUAGCCUCUGGUGCUGAUAUCCCAUCCAUGUUAGCCUCUGGUGCUGUUAGCCUCUGGUGCUGUUAUCCCAUCCAUGUUAGCCUCUGGUGCUGUUAUCCCAUCCAUGUUAGCCCCUGGUGCUGUUAUCCCAUCCAUGUUAGCCUCUGGUGCUGUUAUCCCAUCCAUGUUAGCCUCUGGUGCUGUUAGCCUGUAAGUAAGCAUUUCACUGUAAGGUCUAUACCUGUUGUAUUCGGCGCACGUGACAAAUACACUUUGAUUUGAUUAAAUAAAUGCAGCAAAUUGGCAAUAUAUAAACAUUAUACCACAAUGACCAAGUCAUAUUUGCAAAGACCAUUUGAUUUUAAGUUCAGACAUAUAAAGUUUGUAUAGGAAAAAACAUUUAUAAUAUGCAUACUUUCAGUUUUUCACAAAUUUACUUUACUCGCAUAUAACUCGCAUAUAGGUAGAGGCCUGCACAGGCAUGAAUUUUAAGCCAGAGCCCAACCCAUGCCCACAACAUUCAGGCCAUACCCUACCAAUGCCCGAUUGCUUCUGCCAAAUUGAAGGCCCUGUUAGUAAAUCCAUUAGCUGCUCCGCUCUGUCUGUCACUCGCUCUCUGCACACAAUUCGUUCUCUAUGCGCUCUGCUCAUGGCGGCUAUGAGUUCGUGAGUAUCCAUAUUAACAGCUCCGUUUGAGCUGCUCUGCUCAAUGAAGAGACAUGAGACAGCUGUUAGCUACUUUUCAUCACUCUAAACUCCGACAAAACUCAAGGAACAUUAUUUUCUGUGAAAUAAUCUCUGCCGAUUUAUAUUUGACGAGGUUGAAGCACUUCUGUCACCAUGUUAUGAUCUUAGUCGGCAGGGUAGCCUAGUGGUUAGAGCGUUGGACUAGUAACCGGAAGGUUGCAAAAAUAUAUAUUAUACUGAACAAAAAUAUAAACAACAUGUAAAGUGUUGGUCCCAUAUUUAAUGAGCUGAAAUAAAAUAUCCCAGAAAUGUUCCACAGACACAAAAGCUUAUUUCUCAUAAAUGUUUUGCACAAAUUUGUUUACAUCCCCGUUAGUGAGCAUUUCUCCUUUGCCAAGAUAAUCCAUCCACCUGAUCGGUGUGGCAUAUCAAGAAGCUGAUUAAACAGCAUGAUCAUUACAUAGGUGCACCUUGUGCUGGGGACAAUAAAAGGCCACUCUAAAAUGUCCAGUUUUGUCACACAACACAAUGCCACAGAUGUCUCAAGUUUUAAGGGAGCUGCAGGAAUGUCCACCAGAGCUGUUGCCAGAGGAUUUACUGUUAAUUUAUAUGCCAUAAACCGCCUCCAACUUCGUUUUAGAGAAUUUGGAAGUACGUCCAACUGGCCUCACAACCGCAGACCAUGUGUAACCAAGCCAGCCCAGGACCUCCACAUCUGGCUUCUUCAUCUGCGGGAUCGUCUGAGACCAGCCACCCGGACAGCUGAUGAAACUGAGGAGUAUUUCUGUCCGUAAUAAAGCCCUUUUGUGGGGGAAAUCCAUAGAUUGGGGCCUAAUGAUUUUCUUAUAUGAACUAAAGUAAAGGCUGUGCUAUAUCAGACCGUAUACCACAGGUAUGACACCAAUGGCUUGACUACUGUUCUAAUUACAUUGGAAACCAGUUUAUAAUAUCAAUAAGGCAUCUUGGGGGUUUGUAGUAUAUGGCCAAUACACCACGGCUAAGUGUUGUAUCCAAGCGCUCCAUGUUGCACGGUGCAUAAGAACAGCCCUUAGACAUGGUAUACUGGCCAUACACCACACACCUCCAGGCCUUAUCGCUUAAAUAAGAGGUACUAAAUAAGGUUUCAUCUUAUUGUAAGAAAAUAAAUUCUACUUACCAGUGAUAAGGUUGCUUGGGGCAAAAGCAAAGAGAGACAGAAAACUGGAGGGUCGCCGGUUCAAAUCCCAAGUCUCUCAUGAAAAGAUUAUGGGAAGUGAGCAUCCUAAUUGCAUCUCCUACCAUUGUGCCCUUGAGCAAGGCACUUAACCUCUGGAAUGAGGACAGAGUAUUCUUCCCCUUUUCUGUCAUGUUCUCACAGGAUCUCUGUGAUCUCAGCAGAUGUAACCCCUGAACUCUCCGUGUCAGUUUCCUCUCCCUGGUUCUUCCAGCACAGGGAGCAUAGCAGUACCACACAGGUAGACAGCCAACACCAUCCACACCACCACCCCAAACAGCAUGAAGGACAACAGGUUACCGUCCAUGGUCCCACUUGUUGUGGCGCGGGAGGGAAAGAGAGGGAGGUGGAGACAGAAAGAGGCUCCCUUGACCUUCCAAAUGGACAGACAUUGUGCAGACCCUAGUGACCAAAAGGAGGAUGAUAGAAUAAGUCUGUGUGUGUGUGUUCAUGCAUGUGUCUGUGUUUACAUGGGAGACUUAAGUAUUCUGUAAAGAGGACCUAGUUGGCUGCCUAGAAGCAGGUGAGUGUUUAAAUGAUGCCAUUAUCUUAGUGCAAACAGAACGCACAUUAUUCUGUCAGUACGGCCUCACACCAUUUAGUUCAUAUUCAUGUGUACAUCCACUGUGUUUCCAACACUUUAACUACAUGACAUAGACUGACCAGGUGAAUCCAGGUGAAAGCUAUGAUCCCUUUUUGAUGGCAAAUCCACUUCAAUCAGUGUAGGGGAGGAGACAGGUAAAAAAAAUAUGUAAGGUGCGUGCAACUCAAUAUUAGGAAGGUGUUGCUCAUGUUUGAUAUACUCAGUGUAAAUACUAUCUGCUUAUCUGUUCAACCCAGAUUAAAUAUAGAAACACACUAUAGAAAACCUGUCACCCAUGCCACAUGGAAUAUUAGUGCAGCAAAGGUAGGCUACAGAUUAGUAGUUACUUCUAUGUGAGACUAUCAGUCUCUGUCUCCCUCUGUUGGCUAAAUGAUGCGGCGAAGGCAAACGAAAAGACAAAAAACAACCAAUUGCUGAACACCACAGCUCCGUCAGGUGUAAGAACACUGACUACCCAGUAGCAGCCUACUUUAUUGAGGCCAACCAUCCUAUUUCCUCCCUCAUAUACACAGGUAUGGAGCAUGUUACCCUACCAAGGAGAAGAGGUAACAUUGAGACAUCACUGCUGGAACGAAGCCAACUGGAUCUCACACCUAAAAACACUGACCCCUAGUGGUUUGAAUAUUGACUUUGAUCUCAGGCCCUUUCUAUGAACAUUUCAACACAAUGUACAUGUUUUGCCUACAGUUUAUUAGCUGAUACUGCAUAUCAUGUUUCCCAUGUUGAUGAUGUUCAUCAUGCAUUAUUGUUUGAACCACGAGAAGAUAUUACAUGCAGGCUGUGUCCCAUAGGGCAGCACACUGUUGGCCCAGGGUCAUCUGGGUUUGGCCUGGGUAGGUUGUCAUUGUAAAUAGUCAUUUGUUCUUAACUGACUUGCCUACUUAAAUGAAAAAAAUAGUAAAUCAAGUAAAUGAAAUGUAAACAAUAAUAAUCAUAAGAUGAUAUUAACGUGAUGUAUUGUAUUAAAUCUAAUCAUGUUGACAUAAGAUUAUAUUAACGUGAUGUAUUGUAUUAAAUCUAAUCAUGUUGACAUAAGAUUAUAUUAACGUGAUGUAUUGUAUUAAAUCUAAUCAUGUUGACAUUAUGUAAAUAACUGCCUUGUGUAUUCAACAUCUUGACACACGCAGUAAAAUAAAAGUUUUACAGUU
Oncorhynchus masou masou (cherry salmon) is the source of this 6102-nucleotide long non-coding RNA. RefSeq lists it as uncharacterized. The record is from RefSeq and is a predicted model, not a curated record. The transcript has 2 exons. Lineage: Eukaryota; Metazoa; Chordata; Actinopteri; Salmoniformes; Salmonidae.